AACGAACGCUGGCGGCAUGCCUAACACAUGCAAGUCGAACGAGACCUUCGGGUCUAGUGGCGCACGGGUGCGUAACGCGUGGGAAUCUGCCCUUGGGUUCGGAAUAACAGUUGGAAACGACUGCUAAUACCGGAUGAUGACGUAAGUCCAAAGAUUUAUCGCCCAAGGAUGAGCCCGCGUAGGAUUAGCUAGUUGGUGAGGUAAAGGCUCACCAAGGCGACGAUCCUUAGCUGGUCUGAGAGGAUGAUCAGCCACACUGGGACUGAGACACGGCCCAGACUCCUACGGGAGGCAGCAGGGGGGAAUAUUGGACAAGGGGCGAACGCCUGAUCCAGCAAUGCCGCGUGAGUGAUGAAGGCCUUAGGGUUGUAAAGCUCUUUUACCCGGGAUGAUAAGGACAGUACCGGGAGAAUAAGCGCCGGCUAACGCCG
This 431-nucleotide ribosomal RNA is filed under the name uncultured bacterium. Its description in RNAcentral is "partial 16S ribosomal RNA". It matches the Rfam family "Bacterial small subunit ribosomal RNA", at positions 29 to 505 of the family's 1533-position model. The record is from RNAcentral.